CCCCUCCCUUCGGCCCCGAACCUCCUCGCCGGCGGCCGGUCGCGCUCCGCCGCGACCGGUCGGUGGGCGGGCCGGCCUCGGGGGGCGGGUCAGCCCCAGCCGAGACCCGUUCCACGCGCCGGGCGCGUGACUCGAGCGCGAGGCCGAGUCUCGAACGCGGUGUCGCGGCCCCAGCCCCCCCCCCACCUCCUUCCUCGAGACCGAGACAGAGAGAGAGAGAGAGAAGAGGGCAGGAAGGGGGAAAAAGGGGGGGGCUCCCCGCGUCGUCCGAAGCCGAAGCUGCGCAGCGGUCCCGGCUCCUUGCCCGCGGCGUCGCGGGAAGGGCCGGCCGCCGGGGUCGGCCGUUGCCGCGGGGCGUCCCGCCUCUCCCGCCCGGCGGGCGGAGGCGGUUAGCCCCGCGCCUGCGCGGUGCCGUUCCCCGCCCCAGGCGCCGCCGGGCGCGCCACGUCGCCGGCCGCCGCCGCCGCCGGCGCCCGUCGCCGCCACGCCGCCGCCGCCGGCACGUCCGUGAUGCCGCUCCCGCGGGUCGGAGCGGUGAAAGAGCCGGGGCGGUCAGGGGUUGGCGGAGGCGGUCCGCCGGCGGGGGGUCCGGGCGUCCGCGCGCCGGUGCGCGUUACGGUGGCGCCGCCGUGGGUGGCGGC
RNAcentral lists this unclassified non-coding RNA (641 nucleotides) under Delichon urbicum (Northern house-martin). RNAcentral's name for it is "partial external transcribed spacer". Lineage: Eukaryota; Metazoa; Chordata; Aves; Passeriformes; Hirundinidae. The record is from RNAcentral.